This 465-nucleotide ribosomal RNA is filed under the name uncultured bacterium. Its description in RNAcentral is "partial 16S ribosomal RNA". It matches the Rfam family "Bacterial small subunit ribosomal RNA", at positions 330 to 794 of the family's 1533-position model. The record is from RNAcentral.
GCCAGACUCCUACGGGAGGCAGCAGUGGGGAAUAUUGCACAAUGGGGGGAACCCUGAUGCAGCGACGCCGCGUGAGUGAAGAAGUAUUUCGGUAUGUAAAGCUCUAUCAGCAGGGAAGAAAAACCGACCAUAGGGUCGCUAGACGGUACCUGAUUAAGAAGCCCCGGCUAACUACGUGCCAGCAGCCGCGGUAAUACGUAGGGGGCAAGCGUUAUCCGGAUUUACUGGGUGUAAAGGGCGUGUAGGCGGGAAAGCAAGUCAGAUGUGAAAACCAUGGGCUCAACCUGUGGCCUGCAUUUGAAACUGUUUUUCUUGAGUACUGGAGAGGCAGACGGAAUUCCUAGUGUAGCGGUGAAAUGCGUAGAUAUUAGGAGGAACACCAGUGGCGAAGGCGGUCUGCUGGACAGCAACUGACGCUGAGGCGCGAAAGCGUGGGGAGCAAACAGGAUUAGAUACCCCCGUAGG